This 758-nucleotide ribosomal RNA is filed under the name uncultured Haemophilus sp. RNAcentral describes it as "bacterial SSU rRNA". It matches the Rfam family "Bacterial small subunit ribosomal RNA", at positions 28 to 776 of the family's 1533-position model. Lineage: Bacteria; Pseudomonadati; Pseudomonadota; Gammaproteobacteria; Pasteurellales; Pasteurellaceae. The record is from RNAcentral.
AUUGAACGCUGGCGGCAGGCUUAACACAUGCAAGUCGAACGGUAGCAGGAGGAAGCUUGCUUUCUUGCUGACGAGUGGCGGACGGGUGAGUAAUGCUUGGGAAUCUGGCUUAUGGAGGGGGAUAACGACGGGAAACUGUCGCUAAUACCGCGUAGUGUCGAGAGACGAAAGGGUGGGACUUUUAGCCACCUGCCAUGAGAUGAGCCCAAGUGGGAUUAGGUAGUUGGUGGGGUAAAGGCCUACCAAGCCUGCGAUCUCUAGCUGGUCUGAGAGGAUGACCAGCCACACUGGAACUGAGACACGGUCCAGACUCCUACGGGAGGCAGCAGUGGGGAAUAUUGCGCAAUGGGGGCAACCCUGACGCAGCCAUGCCGCGUGAAUGAAGAAGGCCUUCGGGUUGUAAAGUUCUUUCGGUAUUGAGGAAGGUUGAUGUGUUAAUAGUACAUCAAAUUGACGUUAAAUACAGAAGAAGCACCGGCUAACUCCGUGCCAGCAGCCGCGGUAAUACGGAGGGUGCGAGCGUUAAUCGGAAUAACUGGGCGUAAAGGGCACGCAGGCGGUUAUUUAAGUGAGGUGUGAAAGCCCCGGGCUUAACCUGGGAAUUGCAUUUCAGACUGGGUAACUAGAGUACUUUAGGGAGGGGUAGAAUUCCACGUGUAGCGGUGAAAUGCGUAGAGAUGUGGAGGAAUACCGAAGGCGAAGGCAGCCCCUUGGGAAUGUACUGACGCUCAUGUGCGAAAGCGUGGGGAGCANACAGG